AACUUUGAUUUCACAAAAUAGUCAAGAAUAAUCACACCCACUUCAUUAAAACCCCGAUUCACCAAUACAGCACUGACUUCAGUAAUGAUUGCCUCAGUCUUUUCAAAAUCCUAUGAAAAAAAAUUCCAAUUCUCUGUCUUUUUUUCCCUCCCUAAGCAUGAAGCUAGCUCUCCGACCCUUAAAACCCUUAUUCUCUCUCCUUCAUUUCUUAACCUA
Molecule: long non-coding RNA, 216 nt
Filed under: Physcomitrium patens
Lineage: Eukaryota; Viridiplantae; Streptophyta; Bryopsida; Funariales; Funariaceae
Description: long non-coding RNA (PPAT_LNC001903)
Source: RNAcentral